UCCGGCUUAUCACCGGCAGUUUUCUCAGAGUGCCCAGCCUUACCUGAUGGCAACAGAGAAUGAGGGUUGCGCUCGUUGCGGGACUUAACCCAACAUCUCACGACACGAGCUGACGACAGCCAUGCAGCACCUGUGCACCUCCCACCCGAAGUGAAAGAAAACAUUUCUGCUUUCUAUAGAGGGCAUGUCAAGACCUGGUAAGGUUCUUCGCGUUGCCUCGAAUUAAACCACAUGUUCCACCGCUUGUGCGGGUCCCCGUCAAUUUCUUUGAGUUUUAAUCUUGCGACCGUACUCCCCAGGCGGGGUGCUUAACGCGUUAGCUGCGCUACUCAGGAGUAACUCCCGAACAGCUAGCACCCAUCGUUUACAGCGUGGACUAC
This 380-nucleotide unclassified non-coding RNA is filed under the name uncultured Rickettsiales bacterium. RNAcentral's name for it is "contains 16S-23S intergenic spacer region". Lineage: Bacteria; Pseudomonadati; Pseudomonadota; Alphaproteobacteria; Rickettsiales. The record is from RNAcentral.